GCCUGGGUGGCUCAGUCAGUUAAGUGUCUGACUUCGGCUCAGGUCAUGAUCUCAUGGUUCGUGGGUUCAAGCCCCACAUCAGACU
RNAcentral lists this transfer RNA (85 nucleotides) under Felis catus (domestic cat). It matches the Rfam family "tRNA". Rfam says of the family: Transfer RNA (tRNA) molecules are approximately 80 nucleotides in length. Their secondary structure includes four short double-helical elements and three loops (D, anti-codon, and T loops). RNAcentral also lists the same sequence under 2 other names. The record is from Rfam by way of RNAcentral. Lineage: Eukaryota; Metazoa; Chordata; Mammalia; Carnivora; Felidae.